RNAcentral lists this transfer RNA (72 nucleotides) under Phrynosoma platyrhinos (Desert horned lizard). Its description in RNAcentral is "tRNA-OTHER". Lineage: Eukaryota; Metazoa; Chordata; Lepidosauria; Squamata; Phrynosomatidae. The record is from RNAcentral.
GUCAGCAUGGUGUAGUGGUCUGAACGUUGGACUAUGGCUCAGGAGCCCAGGUUUCGAUUCCCUGCUCAGGCA